AAAUAUAUAUAUACAUACACACAUAUAUAUUGAAUAUAUAUGUGUGUGUGUGUGUGUGUGUAU
This 63-nucleotide microRNA precursor is filed under the name Marmota monax (woodchuck). Lineage: Eukaryota; Metazoa; Chordata; Mammalia; Rodentia; Sciuridae. The record is from RNAcentral.